GCCCAUUUACAGAUCUCGUUUUAAGAUAACUAGUUGUCAAUGAGAACAAUUUGUAAGUGGAUCAAUGCAUUCAAAUAUUUUCACAUGCACAGAAAAAAAAGAUACUGUAUAUGUAACGCCAAUGGUUCUGUCAGAGAAAGUAAGUACACAAAUGUAUGCAUUUUUGAAAUUAUGCAUAUAUUAGAAUUUUAUAUGUUCCACAUCAGUAUACUUCUUGAUUGUCAAAC
Non-coding RNA from Pelobates cultripes (western spadefoot toad), 227 nucleotides. Lineage: Eukaryota; Metazoa; Chordata; Amphibia; Anura; Pelobatidae. The record is from the annotation of a GenBank genome assembly.